UGAGAACUAGCUAAACAGGGUCGGGCAGA
RNAcentral lists this non-coding RNA (29 nucleotides) under Homo sapiens (human). Lineage: Eukaryota; Metazoa; Chordata; Mammalia; Primates; Hominidae. The record is from RNAcentral.